This 393-nucleotide unclassified non-coding RNA is filed under the name Hevea brasiliensis (rubber tree). Lineage: Eukaryota; Viridiplantae; Streptophyta; Magnoliopsida; Malpighiales; Euphorbiaceae. The record is from RNAcentral.
GCAAAAGAAUGUACAAGCAUUUCAGUACAUUGAAAAAAUAAGCAAAUAAACAGCAAGAAGAGAAAUGGAACUUCUUUUCCAAAAUAAAUAAUAGGUAAACGAGUAAAAUAAGUUGUUAAGAAGGGGAGGGAGAAACCAGCAGUUCAGUAUCAACAAGCCAGCCUGCUCAAGGCAGUCCUUGACUCCUAGUCAUAUAAUGAGAAGUUGAAGUCUCUGAAGAGUUCAGUUUUUAGCAAAGUCAACUGAUGGUAAAGCACAGCACUCUUACAAGGCUUGUAAAUUAUAUUAAUUUACUUAAUAUAUGAGGUCUUGCAUGGUAGGCACAGAAAUUAUGUGAUUGCUAGUAGAAACUAGAGUAUUAAUGUCCCAAAACCAAGAAAAUAAUGAAUUAAU